RNAcentral lists this ribosomal RNA (1366 nucleotides) under metagenome. RNAcentral describes it as "bacterial LSU rRNA". It matches the Rfam family "Bacterial large subunit ribosomal RNA", at positions 1541 to 2925 of the family's 2925-position model. The record is from RNAcentral.
GCCCGUGUGGCAAUGGGAAGCCGUGAUGCGGAGCGAAAUAAAGUAGUGAAGUCCGUGAGCCAUGCGUCAAGAAAAGCCGCUAUUGUUUAUACCGUACCCGUACCGUAAACCGACACAGGUGGAUGAGGAGAGAAUCCUAAGGCCGGCGGAAGAAGCAUUGUCAAGGAACUCGGCAAAAUGGCCCCGUAACUUAGGGAUAAGGGGUGCCUGGGAAACCAGGCCGCAGAGAAUAGGCUCAAGCAACUGUUUAGCAAAAACACAGGUCUAUGCGAAACCGAAAGGUGAGGUAUAUGGGCUGACGCCUGCCCGGUGCUGGAAGGUUAAGAGGAGAGGUUAGCGGUAACGCGAAGCUUUGAAUUUAAGCCCCAGUAAACGGCGGCCGUAACAAUAACGGUCCUAAGGUAGCGAAAUUCCUUGUCGGGUAAGUUCCGACCCGCACGAAAGGCGUAAUGAUUUGAGCGCUGUCUCGACAAUGCAUCCGGUGAAAUUGAAGUACAAGUGAAGAUGCUGGUUACCUGCGCCAGGACGGAAAGACCCCAUGGAGCUUUACUCCAGUCUGGUACUGGGACUCGGUAUUGCAUGUACAGGAUAGGUGGGAGGCUAGGAGAUGGUAACGCCAGUUGCCAUGGAGCCGCUGUUGGGAUACCACCCUUGCAGUAUGGGGUUUCUAACCAGCCGCCGUGACCCGGCGGUGGGACAAUGCCAGACGGGGAGUUUGACUGGGGCGGUCGCCUCCGAAAGGGUAUCGGAGGCGCCCAAAGGUUCCCUCAGAAUGGACGGAAACCAUUCGAAGAGUGCAAAGGCAGAAGGGAGCUUGACUGCGACACCGACGGGUGGAGCAGGUACGAAAGUAGGGCUUAGUGAUCCGGUGGUAUUAAGUGGGAAUGCCAUCGCUCAACGGAUAAAAGCUACCCUGGGAUAACAGGCUUAUCACUCCCAAGAGUUCACAUCGACGGAGUGGUUUGGCACCUGGAUGUCGGCUCAUCGCAUCCUGGGGCUGUAGUAGGUCCCAAGGGUUGGGCUGUUCGCCCAUUAAAGCGGUACGCGAGCUGGGUUCAGAACGUCGUGGGACAGUUCGGUCCCUAUCCGGCGUGGGCGUGGGAUAUCUGAGAGGAGCUGUCCUUAGUACGAGAGGACCGGGAUGGACGGGCCGCUGGUGCAUCGGUUAGACUGCCAAGUCUACGGCCGAGUAGCCAAGCCCGGAAGGGAUAAACGCUGAAGGCAUCUAAGCGUGAAGCCCCCCUUAAGAUGAGAUAUCCCAUUCGAAAGAAGUAAACCCCCUUGAAGACGACGAGGUAGAUAGGGCAGAGGUGGAAGUGCAGCAAUGCAUGGAGCUGACUGUUACUAAUCGGGUGAGGGCUUGACC